UUCAAAUUGGAUAAUUGUAGCCAGCCCAUAAGUGAAUCUGAUGAUAUUAAUUCUGAGUCUUUGCCUGCUAAAGAUGAUGAUUACAAUUGUGAUUCUGAUGAUAACUCAGCAGAUAUAGAUGUUUCACAACCACAUGUAAAUGAAAUUUCUACAAAUGAACUUCUGAAAACUUUGAAAGGAAACUCAGACAAAAAUGUUGACACUGAUUUGAAGUCUGAUGCAUUCUCUAGAUUCUCAGUCAAAUAUUUCUCAAAAUACAAAAUACCUAAGUGCCUUGAAGACAUGGACUUAAUUGAAAGUUUGGAUGGUGCAAUUCCAAUUAUCCUACUCAACCUGCUGCACAUGAAUUCAGGAAUUGAACCAGAUCAUGAACCAGUUGAAGAAAAUAAUGAUGUUAAUCAAGCUGUGCAAAAAAUAACAAUUUCACCUCAUCUCCAAAGUAAAACAGUACUAGAUGAUGAUAAGUUGCCAAUUCCAAAUGAAGAAUUUAAUCCUGUGAAUAAGUCUACCAUUUUGAAUUCUUCAAAAGAGAUUAAACAUAUCAACAUUGAUGAAAUAAUGACAAAGUUGAACAAAACAGGUCAUGUUCCUAUUAAUCCACCAGAUGAAACAGAGAAAAAUUCUGCCUUGACUGCUCGAAACAAUCAAGUUUUCAUGAUCAACCGUCUUUUAAAAUCUGGAUCAAGAUUCUCUUUUAAAAUCUGGGAUUCUGAUGAUGACCUCCAUCAUGAAAAUGAUGAUUUCAAAAAAGAAAUUACACCUGCUCAUCUUGUAGAUUCAUAUCAAGUUAUUCCUGAUUCAUACUCCCCAAAUCCUGUUUUAAGAAAUAAGGUACUUGUGAAAUCACUCCAAGAAAGUGUCUCAAACUUUGCUGCUGCUGUUGAAAGCCCAAUAAUCUGUUCAGACAGUCCGGAUAAUAUGUACAUGGUGACACUUGAAAAUUCAACUUCUCCUAAUGCUUCUCUCAAUGAAAACAAAGAAAAUGAAAAAGGUUGUCACAUCAUAAAAGAUUCACCUGAUGUUGUUUUUAUUGGUGAAAAGAAAUUCUCUAAGAAAUGUGCUGAUAUUGGAAACAAAACCAACAUGAUGUACAAUAAAAUGAAUAGAAUUCUGUUGGAUUCUCAGAAACAAAACUUCAAAACCUUUGCUAGUCCAGAAAGAGUUUUGUUAUGCAAGAUGAAGAAUUUCAAUCCAAGUACUUCUGGAACAAAACCAAUUCAUCACGAUCUUAGAAGGGUAAUCAAUCCCGCAAAGUAUUGCACAGAUCCUUAUACUCCUCAAAGAUCAAACUUCACAGUCUCACAAUAUGAAAGACAAAUUUAUAAUGCUAUCUGCACUCUAUCAACAAGCAGAUAUCAAGAACGACAUGUAGUUGAAAUUGAUGGUGUUCACUGCAAAUUCAGUUCUUUUGGAGGAUCAUUUAAUUUUGGACAUGAAGUUUCUAAUUUUGUUGUCUCUGUGUUCUGCCGAUAUUUGUUUCAUUUAUCUCACCCCUCAAAAUCCAAAAAACAUUAUUCCUCUCUAUUGGAUUGUAAGUUUCUAAUUUCUGUUUUAUUAUAUUUAUAA
This 1566-nucleotide long non-coding RNA is filed under the name Oryza sativa aus subgroup. RNAcentral's name for it is "lncRNA OsNaBo_04g0017710". The record is from RNAcentral. Lineage: Eukaryota; Viridiplantae; Streptophyta; Magnoliopsida; Poales; Poaceae.